UUUUUUUUUCUUUCUUUCUUUUUGGUCAGAGACCUGGUUUUGUUGGGAUGUCCACCCUAUGCAGUCAUAACUCCAUAAGUAGGUCUCAAACAGUAAUGGUGAUUCCACCCUCUUGCUUAGAGAUCAGUUUCAAAGUGGCCAAUUCAGUGUGUGGGGCAUUUUUGGAAAGACUUCUUUAUUGAAAAAAAGGUGAAACAGAGACAACAUGGUUCCUUCUCUUUUUCUGGGUGAAAUGGUUUCCGGAUGGCAUGCCUGGAACUGCAGCAUCUAUCUUAGAAACACGAGUAGGACUAGUUUUAGGAUGAAGCCAAGGGGCAAUUGACAGAGCAGAAAGGACCUGGGUUCCAUGUCACUGAGUCAUUGAUAACGGAACAUUGGAAUUUUCCUUUAUUGGAAUGUAAAAUAGCAAAUUUCCCGAAUAUGAAUUAAGCUAAUUUGAACAGGGGUUUUUGUUUUGUUUGUUUGUUUGUUUUUGCUUCUGACAUAGUCCUAUUCCGUGGUGGAGAGGAUUACACAGGAAUCAAGAGCCAUAAAUGUCAGAGCUGCAUCCCCACGUGGGGGGGCCAGCUCUAGGCAAGCCCAGGAGAGUAGAAAGGGGGGUGUCUAACCAUGGCUGUGAGACAGACCACACAAGGUCCAAAUGGUGAGAUGGAACCUGUUGUCAUUAUGUCCCGCAGGUCAGCACAGGAUCCAGUACUGGGUCCAGAAGGAAACCCAUCAUUCCCUGGCCUGAUAUUUUCCUUCUUUUUUAAAAAUUGAAGUACCGUUGAGUCAUAACGUUUCAGGUGUACAGCAAGGUGAUUCAGUUACACACACAUAUGUGUACAUAUAUAUAUUCUUUCCCAGAUUCUUUUCCAUUUUUGUUUAUUGUAAGAUGUUAAAUAUAGCUCCCUGUGCUAUUCAGUAGGUCAUUGUUGUUUAUCUAUUUUAUAUGUAGUCAAUUGUGUCUAUUAAGCCCAAACUCCUAAUUUUUCCCUCCCCCACCUUUCCCCUUUGGUAACCAUAGUUUGUUUUCUGUCUGCAAGUUUAUUUCUAUUUUGAAAAUAAGUUCCUUUGUAUCAUUUUUUUAAGAUUCAACAUAGAAGUGAUACCAUGAUACUUGUCUUUCUCUCUCUGACUUACUUCACUUAGUAUGAUCAUGUCUAGGUCCAUCCAUGUUGCAACAAAUGGCCGGAUAAUCUCAUGUGGAGGAAUUUCAGCUAAAAAUACUCCUGACCUCUCAUAUCUUUUACCUUCUCUCUCUCUCUCUUUUUUUUUGGCAAUAAGUUUGGAGAAAAUCUGAACAUCUGCCACUCAGCUCUUCCCUCUGUCCCUCUUUCAGACCCUGCACCAAGGGUCCAUUCUGGCCUUCUAUCCACACAGUGGCAAGUGGGGGAAGCCUGAAGGUUUUGGGGGGAGGGCUGCAAGUUCAUUUCAGAGGGUGGUAUUAGAAAGCUCUCUGUGUAAAUGAAAUAUACUCUAAUAAAAAUAACAAAAUUUUUUAAAAAGGAAGCUCUCUGUUGCCACACAUUUAAACCAUAUUCAGCUUUUCCUCAUAAUAAAGUUGAUAUCUUGAUGUCCAUCUUUCUGACCCCUGAAUAUAUUUCAUCUUUAGUUCUGAACUCAGGAGGGAAGGUGAAAGGCAUUAUUCCUUGGAUCCCUAAACCUUAACCCAAACCACCAAAUCAAAAUUAUUAAGAAUUUAAUUUAAAACAAAAUGUCAUUGCAUUACACUUACUAGUCUACUGCUCCUAUAUUUCCUAUAGGAUAUGGGGGACAGGGGAUUUUUAAUACGUCUGAUGUGAUCUGGAGUAUGGUUUCCAAAAUUAAAAGGUCCCACAAAGAUCUUUAAAGAGCCUUAAAAGAGAUCUGGUAAAGCCUCGGACUCUGACAGUCAAGAGAUGCCAGCAGGCAGCAGGUGGCACAGUUGAGAGGUAUGGAUGAAAUAAGUUCUAAAAUGAUUUGACCUUAUUUGGAUGAUGGCAAACUAGGCUGUGUUUGCUGCUAAGAAAGUAUUCCUGGUUUCCGCCGAAUGGUGUUGAGUCAGCUGAGUCUAAAGGUACAGAAAAAAAACAACAACAACACAGUAUCAGUAGUGGUUAUAGCAGCAGUACUAGUACUAGUAAUAGCUAAGAUACAUGGAAUAUAUAUAGUUUUAUUAUAUUUUUAAUUCCAUUAUUUUACUCAGCCUUCACCACAACCUUAUGGACUAAGCAUUAUAUUAGUUUUAUUUUACAUUUGAGGAAAUUGAGACUUGGAGAGACUGAGGGGUUUGUGCAAGGUCACACAGCUAGCAAGUGCCACACAUAGUCUUUUUUAAAUUUGUCUUUGGGACUCCACUCUUAAUACUAACUCCAUAUUGUGAUCAGACUGUUCAUAACCAUUCCCAUUCUUGAUCAAUUUUCUGGGGAAAUAAUUCAAUGAAAGCCAAAGCUACAUGCAUAAAACUUCCAUUAAGAUAUUUUAUGUGCUUGUGCCAGAGGAAGCACCAUGUACAUCAGCAGGGAACUAUUUUAAUAAAUUAUGCUUCAUCCAAUCCAUGAAAGGCUAGACAUAAAUUUAAAAUAGUAAUUCUGGGGAGUUCCCGUGAUGGCACAGCAGAAACGAAUCCGACUAGGAACCAUGAGAUUGCAGGUUUGAUCCCUGGCCUCACUCAGUGGGUUAAGGAUCCAGCGUUGCUGCGAGCUGUAGUGUAGGUCGCAGACGCGGCUCGGAUCUAGCGUUGCUGUGGCUGUGGUGUAGGCCAGCAGCAACAGCUCUGAUUCGACUCCUAGCCUGGGAACCUCCAUAUGCCAUGGGUGCGGCCCUGAAAAAAAAGACACACACAAAAAAAUAGAAAAAAAAAAAACAACUCUGAUAACAUGGGAUCAAAACUAGAAAAGAAAUAUGCAAAAACAAAAAUAACUUUUAAUAACAAGUGGGCUUUAGGUGAAUCUUUUGCUCUUUUACCAAAAUUAUUUUCAGUGUUGUGGAGGUACUACCUUGCCAAUAAAAGCAGAACAGACCUGCAUGGGGCGCUGCAGACAGAACUAGGUGUCUGUGAUUCAGUGAGUGCCAUGGUGGGGAGAAGGGGGCCUGGGCAUGUUUGAGAGAGCUUGAAGCGACUGAGCCUCCAUCCGAACUGCAAGCGUUAGCCUGAUCCCAGAUCUCCUUCUAACUCAAGGCAAACACUGAAAUCCUGAGCACAGGUUUCUAAUAAGCGUCCUAUAGGGAAGGGAAAGUCUUGGCUCCGCCCCGAGUGGGAGAAUCCCGAUGCUCCACCAAGUGAGGAGGUGUUGGGAACUUGCCCCAGGGUGCUGGUGACGUCAUGGAGUCGUGGGUGAAGAUGUGCAAGGGGCAGGACAGGAGAGGUGAGGGCGUCUACACCGUGAACCUUUCUAGAGGAAAUGAGAUGCAAAUGAGGAAAGGGCAGGAGAGAGAUAAACAAAUGCUGAGGUGUUAGGUGGGAAGAGACUGUCUCAGAUGGUUAAGACAGAAAAAGGCAGUCUAGUCAGCCGGUUUCCUCAAUCCACAGAGACCCUCUUUGCAGUGGAAUGAACAAGGGCUUUGACAAGAGACUAGAGUCCAUUACUGGCUCCACUGCUGUGUGACAAUGAACAAGCCACUUAACCUCUCUGAUGCUCAGUUUGUUUUGUUUUGUUUUGUCUUUUUGCCAUCUCUUGGGCCGCUUCUGCGGCAUAUGGAGGUCCCCAGGCUAGGGGCCGAAUCAGAGCUGUAGCCACCAGCUUACGCCAGAACCACAGCAACACGGGCAGAGCCACGUCUGUGACCUACACCACAGCUCAUGGUAACGCCGGAUCCUUAACCCACUGAGCAAGGGCAGGGAUCGAACCCGCAACCUCAUGGUUCCUUGUCGGAUUCGUUAACCACUGUGCCACGACGGGAAUUCCUGAUGCUCAGAUUUUUGAAGUGGCAAUAGCCAUUCCUUCGGCAUAGAAUUCAGUGUGACAUCCCGAGGCCACUCUUCUCCCACUGCCUACCCUGUAACAUAAAUGGUAUUUUCUUUGGCACUCCAAAGACCAAUACUUUCUUCGGUACUUCAAAGAAUGGUAUUUCUUUGGUACUCCGUCGCUUUCCCCAGGGAGAUGGGGCUGCAGAGCAUUUCCUGGACCCUCCAUCUCCAUCCCAUGAAAGAAUUCCCUGUCACUCUGCUUUUCUUCCCAAGCGGAGGACCAGAAAAGCCUGCCCCCUCUCCCUGAGGGAAGAGAGAGGUGUACAACAGGGCUGGUCUGAGUCUGCACCCCAGAGCCAUCCUCUGCCCUGAAGGUGAAUUUCCAGAUCGCGUGUGAUGAGAAUGGAAACACAUGAAAGACCUCAAUCAGGCUGCCGGGGGCUGAUACUCUGUGGGUGGGGA
RNAcentral lists this long non-coding RNA (4333 nucleotides) under Sus scrofa (pig). RNAcentral describes it as "lncRNA (ENSSSCG00035017610.1)". Lineage: Eukaryota; Metazoa; Chordata; Mammalia; Artiodactyla; Suidae. The record is from RNAcentral.